Molecule: unclassified non-coding RNA, 3607 nt
Filed under: Eurytemora carolleeae
Lineage: Eukaryota; Metazoa; Arthropoda; Copepoda; Calanoida; Temoridae
Description: two pore calcium channel protein 1
Source: RNAcentral
ACCGAGUUUUGCUAUUAGCUGUAUCUUAAGUUGCAAGCUCUUACAUUAGAAUCCUGAUGUACACAGUGAACAUAGUACACCGUAGAAUACCUAAGUAUAUUUUAUAGAAAGAUGAGCCUUCAAACCUUGGGACUACUGUUAUUUUAAGUGAAAGAGUGCUAAAAUCUCCCAACUGGCUUGAUGAUUAGAUGAAGAUGUUUAAACAUUUGGAAGUACUCGUGAAAGUCUAGAAAGUACUCGUUAUAGUCUAUAGAAAGUAAUCUUUAUAGUCUAGAAAGUACUCGUUCUAGUCUAGAACGUACCCGUUCUAGUCUAGAAAGUACCCGUUCUAGUCUAGAGAAAAACUGAGAAAAAUAAAUAGAGAAAAUGUUUCCAAGGCCAGAAAAAGACACAAAUUCAGUCGAUAGUGUUGCUUCACCUUCAAAUAGUUCUGAAGAUAUUCCGGUGCAUUUUCCUGAAAACUUUUCACUCCAGGGCGAAUCCAUCAACCUUUCACCGAGACGGGAUCAUCUCCCCAACCCUCCAAGUUCGAUAGAUUUCCCCAGUCCAAGUUCGAUAUUUUCCCUCUCUCAAACCAUAAAUACGUUAAAUCUUUUCCCGGAUAAAGUUGAAUCCCCUAGCCCGUCCUCCAGCAUAAGAGAAACUCCCCACCAAGCUCCAAAAAAUGCCGAAGUUUCUCCUCAAGGAAGGAUUGAUGAUAAGGUUUUUCCUCAAGCAAGUAAUGAUGCUACUAUAGUUCCUAGUGAGGAAAUAUAUCCCGGAGAAGAUGAAACAGUACAACUGUCUACUAGUGAGGAGAUGUAUCCCGGAGGAGGUAGAACGGUUCCACUAUCUCCUAGUGAGGAGAUGUAUCCCGGAGGAGAUAGAACGGUUCCACUAUCUCCUAGUGCGGAGAUGUAUCCCGAAGAAGAUAGAACGGUUCCUCUGUCUCCAGCCCCUCAUCAGAUUCUUCUAGCUUCAGCGUUUAUGGAUGAUGCUAGAAAUGGUCAUCAUAUGGAGUUCGAACCUACAGUCUCGGCAGUAAACCUGUACAACUGGUAUAAGAGUUGGUACAUGCAGUGGAUUAUGUACUGUGCCCUGCUGUUGUACCUGGCUCUUGUACUUGUAGAGGAGCCUGCUGUUCCAGGGUUACAUGUACAGUUUUAUAUAUCGAUGGUAGUAGAGGUUCUGUGUUUGGCAUUUUUCUUAUUCAGGCUGGGGCAUGAAUACUGGUUUUCUUCUAAGACACGGUUCUGGCGGGAUGAAAAGCAUAUAGUACUGGUCGUGCUUAUAUUUGCUUCAGUUCUUGACAUCUGCAUCUACUGUGCUUUAGCUGGGUUUAGUAUCACGUCCAUCAGAGUUUCUCGUCCUUUCCGUCCUUUCUUCCUAGUUAAUAUACCAGAAGGUCGUCAGAUGAGACGCGCAUUCAGAAAUAUCAGACGCACGCUUCCAGAGAUAUUUUCCGUGCUUGUCCUUUUUCUUCUUAUUAUCGCAGUUUUUUCGCUCAUGGCUUGCAAGAUUUUUGGACACAGGGGCUGGGCAAAGACUUCUGGAGGACCUUACUUUGAUAACUACCUGGAUUCCUACUGGGAUCUCUACGUCCUAGUAACUACAGCAAAUAAUCCUGAUAUCAUGAUGCCAGCUUACGAUCAGAAUCCAUGGUUAUCCCUGUUCUUUAUUAUCUUUAUCAUCAUCUGCGUUUACAUCUUUAUGUCCAUAUUCCUGGCCGUGGUGUAUAACAAUUACAGAUCCAAUUUGAAGAAUGAGAUACAAGAAGCCUUACGUAGAAAACGAAAAUUAUUAAAAACAGUUUUUGAUCUGAUGAAAAGUAAAGAAAACGGAAAGGAAGUUAUUAGAGAACAAGACUUUGCUAAACUUAUUCAGUUAACUCUGCCCAGGAAGAGCCAACAAUACACUAAGAUGGUUUGGUGUGUCCUGGACGCUGAUAAUAACGGAUAUUUAGACCAAAAGGAGUUUUUAAAUGUAGCUGAUCUUUUGAAUAUCCCUGUCACAGAAGUCCUACCAAAUUUAUUUGAAAGACAUGUUCCCAACAUUUAUCAAUCUUCCUCAUCAACUAUACUCAAAUCAGUGGUCAAACAUAAGUGGUUCAGAUACAUAUUUGAUAGUAUCAUCAUUAUCAACGCCUUCUUCAUCCUCUUCGAUAUGCCCGAUGGAUACGAGUUCGGUUUCCUAACCGUAUUUAUUAUUGAGAUCCUCUUGAAGAUUUACACUUUUGGAUUCUAUAUGUUUAGUCGUAAACUUUGGAACGUGUUUGAUGUAAUCGUGAUCGGAUUAGCAUUCAUAAUUUCAAUCAUUGAAGUUAUUCGGGGAGAUGAAUUUGACAGCAGGCUGAUAUUGGAUAUUAUGCUAGUGCUCAGGGUUCUUAGGAUUGUUAAAAUAUUCCAUAGCCUAGGGCGGUUCAGAACUAUUCUGAACACUAUCAUGCUCAUUCUACCCUCCAUGCUCACAUAUGCCGGGGUGCUCUUUGUAUUUUUCUACUUCUUCGCUGUGAUAGGACUAGAGGCGUUCAAGGGUAGUAUUGAGUUCUAUGGGCCUGAUGACAAUAGCCUUGAGAUAGAUCAAUUGAACUGUGGAAAUAUCAACUUGGAGAACUCUGAGUUUGCCCGACAAAAAUACUGUGGAAACAAUUUCAACAAUAUAUUACGAGCAUUUGUUGUUUUGUUUGAACUGCUGGUGGUUAAUCAAUGGCACGUGAUUGCCAAUGGAUAUGAACUGGCGGUAGGAUCCAGGUUUACAAGAAUAUACUUCAUCUGCUUUCACCUCCUCUCCGUCAUCAUUGUUCUCAAUAUCUUCACCGCCUUUGUUCUCGAGGUGUUCAUACAUGAAUACUCCUUUACCAAGGGUAGGCUGGAAUCAUCCCUUGAAGUAAAGAUCAAUGAGAUGGGACUAGGUUUGGGAAGUCGUCCUAUUCAAAAUACUCGACAUAAACCAGACGAUCAGUCAAGACAGUCUAUAAUCGAAGAUGAUCAACUAGCGAAUGACGAGAUCGAUGCUGAUCAUGAUAAUCUACAGUUUGUGUGUAAUCAGCUGGCAGGUUUGUCCACUAGAUAUACAGAUUACUCUGCUGACACUGCGGUUAGGUUUCAUCUCAACAAAGGAGCCCGUAACGUUCACACUAUGCUGGAGAAACUCUUUAUAAAGGAACUGGAUGAAAAUGAUCUGAACGAUGAGAGAGGGAAUGUUUUUCUAUCCUCCUAACUAACCAAUACAAACUUUUCUAGAUAUAAUUCGAGCUGAAAGGGUUUGUGCACGUAAUUUGAUGUGACCGUCUAUUUAUAGAUUGGCAUAUUGUCUCAGCAAAAAUUAUGUUUUUCUAUUUUUCUAUAAAAAUUACUUCCGGCAUAAUGCCGCAGAAAUAAGUUUCUGAAGCCGCCUUUAAAACAUCUCUGAUAGAUUUUUAAAGGCUAAAUUGUCUACGGGAAUGUUUCUUUAGUUAAAUUUCCUUAAUCAAUUGUAAAUAAUUUAAACUAUUAUUUUAAAUCCUUGUAAUUUGUAAUUGUACAAUGUGAUAUUGUAGUACUAAAUGUGAUAUACCCAUUACUCAAUAAUGUGACAUUCCAUGUUUCUGAUAAAUUAUUUAUAGAUAAUAAUAAAAUGGAAGGACAUA